CAGCAGCCGCGGUAAUACGUAGGGGGCAAGCGUUAUCCGGAUUUACUGGGUGUAAAGGGAGCGUAGACGGCGCGGCAAGUCCGAAGUGAAAGGCGGGGGCCCAACCCCCGGACUGCUCUGGAAACUGUCAUGCUUGAGUGCGGGAGGGGCAGGCGGAAUUCCUAGUGUAGCGGUGAAAUGCGUAGAUAUUAGGAGGAACACCGGCGGCGAAGGCGGCCUGCUGGACCGUAACUGACGUUGAGGCUCGAAGGCGUGGGGAGCAAACAGGAUUAGAUACCCUGGUAGUCCACGCGGUAAACGAUGAUCACUAGGUGUCCGGGGACACGGUCCCCGGGUGCCGCAGCCAACGCAUUAAGUGACCCACCUGGGGAGUACGUUCGCAAGAAUAAACUCAAAUGAAUUGACGG
RNAcentral lists this ribosomal RNA (407 nucleotides) under uncultured rumen bacterium. Its description in RNAcentral is "bacterial SSU rRNA". It matches the Rfam family "Bacterial small subunit ribosomal RNA", at positions 509 to 916 of the family's 1533-position model. The record is from RNAcentral.